RNA transcript from Salvia splendens (bonfire salvia), 3016 nucleotides. It is a transcript of the gene named chaperone protein dnaJ 49, with no coding region annotated. NCBI's taxonomy places the organism in Eukaryota, Viridiplantae, Streptophyta, Magnoliopsida, Lamiales, Lamiaceae. The record is from RefSeq and is a predicted model, not a curated record. The transcript has 3 exons.
AAUACACUUGACUUUGAUCGGUAUCUGAAUUGCGGAAUCUCGCAGAGAGCAAAACCCCUCUUUGUUCAUCGCCCAAAUCCCCCAAUUCAAUCCAAAUCAAUUUCUUCUGUAAGUUCGCCUUCCGAUUCUCGGCAUACACCUUUGCUCUCCGCAGAGAAUUUAUUGCAGGAAAAGUAUGGAUGGCAACAAAGAUGAAGCAUUGAAGUGUUUGAACAUCGCCAAGAACUCAAUUCAAUCCGGCGACAGAGAUCGCGCCCUAAAAUUCCUCAAUAAAGCCCGUAGGCUUGAUCCGUCUAUCCAAAUCGACGAAUUUCUCUCCAAUCUCAGCGAUUCACCGCCGGAGGACAAAAGCCCUAAGUCACCCACCGACGAAAGCCCUCCUGAUCCAUCGAAAACUGGCCCCCGCCGUAGGGCUCCGGCCGCCGCCCGAUCGACGUCGUCUUCUUCCACCGCAUCGGCGACAUAUACUGAGGAGCAGGUGACAAUUGUCAGAGAUAUUAAGAGGAAGAAGGAUUACUACGAGAUUUUAGGAGUGGAGAAAAGUUGCUCAGGUGAGGAUGUUCGGAAGGCGUAUAGGAAGCUCUCUUUGAAGGUCCAUCCUGAUAAGAACACAGCGCCAGGGGCGGAGGAGGCGUUCAAGAUGGUUUCCAAGGCAUUUCAGUGCUUGAGCGAUGAGGAGAGCCGUAAGAAAUACGACGUCGUGGGGUCGGAUGAGCCGGUAUACGAGAGGAGAGGCGGAGGCGGUGGUCAUGGAAUGCGUGGUUUUAACGGAUUUUAUGAAGCCGACGUUGAUGCGGAUGAGAUUUUUAGGAAUUUCUUCUUUGGGGGAAUGCAUCCUGCAACGACUGGGAAUUUUGGGGGAUUUGCGUUCGGACCAGGUGUGAGAGUGAGAACUGGUGGAGCUGGAGUUGGAGUUGAUCAUAGCCCUAAUUGGGUGAGGACUGUGGUGCAGUUGCUGCCGGUGAUACUCAUCUUGUUAGUGAACUUCAUGCCCUCUUCGGAGCCAGCUUACUCCCUCUCUCGGACUAACUACCAUGAUGUUAGGUUCACUACACCGAAGGGGGUGAACUAUUUUGCCAACUCUGGGAAAUUCGAGCAGCAGUAUCCGGCUAAUAGUCACGAACGCGUUGCAAUUGAGCAACGUGUUGAGGACGAUUACCAUAAUUCCUUAGUGCAUAACUGCAGGGUUGAGUGGCAGCAGCUUCAUUGGGGAUAUAGGCGGGAGACGCCAAAUUGUGAUGCAUUGAGGCGCUUUGAGGCUUUGGCUCAGUGAAGCAUUGAGGCGGAUGUCGCCAUGGUGACAUGAUUAAAGGUUUAUUUAUUUGUGAUUUGGUCCGAUAUUCUUUUCAUGUUUUGUUUGCUGCUAUGGUCGGAUAUGUUAUCCUAUUUGAAUUAGUCGCCGAUGGUUUUUUUUUCUUGUUUCUAUUGAUAACGGUUUCUGGUGAUGGAAUCUUGAGAUGUGUGAGGCUGCAAUAUGUCUGGGAGUGACCAACUUGAUUAGUGACUUUUGUCGUUGGGAGUGGGAUGAAUAGAUGCAUGUUUAUUCAUAUAGGAAACUGCUUGUAUGUACCAUUAAAACGACUAGGGAUGUUGACAAUGAGAGCAAAUUUCAGUUUCCUUGAGAAUAAAGCUGAUGGUUUUGUCAAGCUUGAGAAGAUGUACUAGUCAAAUUUAAUUGCUUAGUAUAGUAGUCAGUUAUUGGUUAUUGUUUUAUGUGUAACACAUACUAGUGUAGGAAGUACCCGAGUGCGCUAUCUUGAGUAUUUGUUUUGAAUAUUUAUGUCUGAUAUAUAAGAUUAUAUCUUUCUCAAAGUAGUAGUUUGUUUGAAAAUGCUUACUACUUUCAACGUCCUCAAUUACAGAUUUGAGCUUAUGUCUGCUCUCCUAACAAUUGAAUAACCUCAAAUAUUAUGGUGAAUAUGAACUCAUCAGGUCUGGAUGAUCCUAUGCUCACUUUAGCCAGAAGUAGACGUUGGGUGUGAAAUUGAGCCCUUAUUUUAUCAAUACAUUUAAGGAAGUAGGAACUUGUGUAGUAAAUGAGUAGCAGUUUCAAAGGUUCUGUUGUCUAAGGAUCAGCAUAACUGUUUCAGUUAGUUGAAUGUAGUUGCUGUAUAACUCUAUUGGUUUGUCGUUUUUUUUAAAUUCUUUCUAAACAUAUCACGAUAUGGCGGUAUAGAGUUUCUUUUGUGAUCUCUGUUGGACUGAUUUAUACUCAUGAAUGCAAUAUUCUAUUUUCCUUUUUUGGGGUUUGAAUGCAAUAUUAUAGUUUCGAUGAAUUCAUAUGCAAGACUAGUUGAUAGAUAUGCCCAUUUUAAUUUAAGCAACCUGCCUAAUAUUUUUUUCCAAACAAUUUUGUCUAAUUAAUUUACUGAUGCAGUUUACAAAUCUACUCAAAGCUAAGACAUGCCAGGGAAUUAGUUGAGUGCUGUAAUCUGAGUAGUGUGUCUGUACCUAGUCAACUAAAGUCCUGUCCAUAGGGGAAAACAGAGGCAGAUUGCUCUGCACAGGGAAUUACUUUCUUCACCCCGACCAACAGAUUGAUGCGAUCUUUUCGGGAGCUUGUGUCUGGCUUCAAUGUGUGUGUGCUCCAUCUCUAUUAGAGAGAUUGGAAAGAGGGAAUGAGACAACUCAAUGAUAUGUAUGGACAUCUUAUAUCUUAUUCGAGUCUCAUGUCGUCUAAAUCAUUAAUCAAUUCUGAAUGGUGUGCAUAUAAUGAAGCAUGCAGUUGAAAUGGUGUGCUCGUGUUGUCUUUCUGAAUAAUUCCAUCACAUGAUUAACCAGAAUCGGUAUGAUUUGCGUGUACUCGUGAUUAAUUAGUGGAACCAGAGAAUCAGAAGUUUGCAGUGGCAAACAGAGAUUCAUAUGAAGCCUUUAUUCUACAUAACAGAGGAGGAUGGUCCAACUCCAACACCAUAUAUUUUUUUGUCAUUCGACAUUUUAAUCAUACUAUAUUAUACCAAAUGUCUAUUCAACUUUUGUGUAGUUGCUACCUGUUAGUAUUAUAUUCCUGCUUUCA